AGAGUUUGAUCCUGGCUCAGAUUGAACGCUGGCGGUAUGCUUAACACAUGCAAGUCGAACGGUAACAGGCCUUCGGGCGCUGACGAGUGGCGGACGGGUGAGUAACGCGUAGGAAUCUGCCUGGUAGUGGGGGGCAACAUGGGGAACCUCAUGCUAAUACCGCAUACGCCCUAAGGGGGAAAGCGGGGGACCUUCGGGCCUCGCGCUAUCAGAUGAGCCUGCGUUAGAUUAGCUAGUUGGUGGGGUAAAGGCCUACCAAGGCGACGAUCUAUAGCUGGUCUGAGAGGACGAUCAGCCACACUGGGACUGAGACACGGCCCAGACUCCUACGGGAGGCAGCAGUGGGGAAUAUUGGACAAUGGGCGCAAGCCUGAUCCAGCAAUACCGCGUGUGUGAAGAAGGCCUGAGGGUUGUAAAGCACUUUCAAUGGGGAGGAAAAAAGUCUGGUUAAUAGCCGGGCUCUUGACAUUACCUAUAGAAGAAGCACCGGCUAACUCCGUGCCAGCAGCCGCGGUAAUACGGAGGGUGCGAGCGUUAAUCGGAAUUACUGGGCGUAAAGCGUGCGUAGGCGGUUAUUUAAGUCAGAUGUGAAAGCCCUGGGCUUAACCUGGGAACGGCAUUUGAUACUGGGUAACUAGAGUUUAAUAGAGGAGAGUGGAAUUUCAGGUGUAGCGGUGAAAUGCGUAGAGAUCUGAAGGAACACCAGUGGCGAAGGCGGCUCUCUGGAUUAAAACUGACGCUGAGGUACGAAAGCGUGGGUAGCAAACAGGAUUAGAUACCCUGGUAGUCCACGCCGUAAACGAUGUCAACUAGCCGUUGGGUCUUUUCGAAGACUUAGUGGUGCAGCUAACGCAUUAAGUUGACCGCCUGGGGAGUACGGCCGCAAGGUUAAAACUCAAAGGAAUUGACGG
RNAcentral lists this ribosomal RNA (911 nucleotides) under uncultured bacterium. Its description in RNAcentral is "bacterial SSU rRNA". It matches the Rfam family "Bacterial small subunit ribosomal RNA", at positions 8 to 916 of the family's 1533-position model. The record is from RNAcentral.